Molecule: long non-coding RNA, 814 nt
Organism: Osmerus eperlanus (European smelt)
Lineage: Eukaryota; Metazoa; Chordata; Actinopteri; Osmeriformes; Osmeridae
Exons: 3
Source: RefSeq, a predicted model, not a curated record
GGAAACACACAAUGUCCUGUCGCCUGAUAUCUUGCUUAAAUUAACACUGAGUUCAAUUCAGCAAAUAGAAAGAAGGCAGAGGCACGCAAAACGGGUGGAGGGCCACCACCAGCACCUCUGACCUCUGCAGAAGAGCUGGCUCUGAGCCACAACAUUGGCCGUCCAGUGGCUGAAGGCAUCCCUGGAGGAAGCUCAUCAGAGCCAAUCACCCCACAGGACACAAGUGCCUACAUAAGAUGUAAGUAUGUGCGAGUAUGUGUGUGAAUGUGUUUUCAUUUUCCACUCUGGUCCACUUCUAGUCACUGAUGGUGUAAUCCGAGUGGUUGAGCCUCCUGCAAGCCUUUGCACAACUGUACCACUUGAUGAUGAUGAUGAUGAUGAUGAUGAGGACACAUUGACUGCUGCCACAGACAGGGUUGCAGAGAGGCCUACAUAUAUGAGCAUGGAUGAGCCUUGCCAGGAGAGGGGUCCAUCAACCUCCAAAGCACAGCUACAGACAGUGAGAUGUUCAGUAAAUGGCAGGUGAAUUCUGUGUGUAGAACUGGGAUUUAAUGUCAUCCUAAUGUAUUCCCAGUUACCAGUUAAGGACUUGUACAAACUCCAUUUGUUAAAACAAAUGGAGAAAACUGACCAAGAGAUGGUGUAUUUGGGGCGGAAGAUAAAGAAGACGGAUCUAGAAAUUGAAUUGCUAGAACACCAGCUGCAGGUGGGUGCAUGGUCACAGGUGAGUGAGUGUUAAUUGUCAGAACAAUAUAUUAAUAUUAAUUGUUGCAUUUCUAUUUGUAGGCAAUAAAGAAGACAAAAUGAAAUGGUA